AGCCUUGUAGCUCAGCUGGUAGAGCGUGUGAAGUACAAUCUUAGGCGGCGUCCAUACGUGGAUUCAAAUCCCACCGAGACUA
Molecule: transfer RNA, 82 nt
Filed under: Echinostoma caproni
Lineage: Eukaryota; Metazoa; Platyhelminthes; Trematoda; Plagiorchiida; Echinostomatidae
Rfam family: tRNA
About the family: Transfer RNA (tRNA) molecules are approximately 80 nucleotides in length. Their secondary structure includes four short double-helical elements and three loops (D, anti-codon, and T loops).
Source: Rfam by way of RNAcentral